ACAAAAAUAGAAAAAAGUGAAAUGAGUCCAAGACUAAAAGUAAAGGAGACAAAGAUAUAUUCUUUGAGUAAGCAAACAAUACAGUGUAUGGAUGAAGGUAAUGCAUUAAUGAUUUUCAUUGAAAUUUGACUUGAUAUCUACUUAUCUAAAAUCUUGUAAAUGUGCAUCUUGCGUCUUGAAUUAUCAAAGGAUUGGACAGA
RNAcentral lists this long non-coding RNA (200 nucleotides) under Lathyrus oleraceus (garden pea). Its description in RNAcentral is "Pisum sativum (pea) long non-coding RNA (PSAT_LNC024265)". The record is from RNAcentral. Lineage: Eukaryota; Viridiplantae; Streptophyta; Magnoliopsida; Fabales; Fabaceae.